Molecule: ribosomal RNA, 435 nt
Filed under: uncultured Sphingomonas sp.
Lineage: Bacteria; Pseudomonadati; Pseudomonadota; Alphaproteobacteria; Sphingomonadales; Sphingomonadaceae
Description: bacterial SSU rRNA
Rfam family: Bacterial small subunit ribosomal RNA
Source: RNAcentral
AACGCGAAGAACCUUACCAGCGUUUGACAUGCCCGGACGAUUUCGGGAGACCGAUCUCUUCCCUUCGGGGACUGGAACACAGGUGCUGCAUGGCUGUCGUCAGCUCGUGUCGUGAGAUGUUGGGUUAAGUCCCGCAACGAGCGCAACCCUCGUCCUUAGUUGCCAUCAUUUAGUUGGGCACUCUAAGGAAACCGCCGGUGUUAAGCCGGAGGAAGGUGGGGAUGACGUCAAGUCCUCAUGGCCCUUACGCGCUGGGCUACACACGUGCUACAAUGGCGGUGACAGUGGGCAGCAAUCUCGCAAGGGUGAGCUAAUCUCCAAAAGCCGUCUCAGUUCGGAUUGUUCUCUGCAACUCGAGAGCAUGAAGUCGGAGUCGCUAGUAAUCGCAGAUCAGCAACGCUGCGGUGAAUACGUUCCCGGGCCUUGUACACACCG